Molecule: ribosomal RNA, 448 nt
Filed under: uncultured bacterium
Lineage: Bacteria
Description: SSU rRNA
Rfam family: Bacterial small subunit ribosomal RNA
Source: RNAcentral
AGAGCGAACGCUGGCGGCAGGCUUAACACAUGCAAGUCGAGCGGGCGUAGCAAUACGUCAGCGGCAGACGGGUGAGUAACGCGUGGGAACGUACCUUUUGGUUCGGAACAACCCAGGGAAACUUGGGCUAAUACCGGAUAAGCCCUUACGGGGAAAGAUUUAUCGCCGAAAGAUCGGCCCGCGUCUGAUUAGCUAGUUGGUGAGGUAAUGGCUCACCAAGGCGACGAUCAGUAGCUGGUCUGAGAGGAUGAUCAGCCACAUUGGGACUGAGACACGGCCCAAACUCCUACGGGAGGCAGCAGUGGGGAAUAUUGGACAAUGGGCGCAAGCCUGAUCCAGCCAUGCCGCGUGAGUGAUGAAGGCCCUAGGGUUGUAAAGCUCUUUCGCCCGCGACGAUGAUGACGGUAGCGGGAGAAGAAGCCCCGGCUAACUUCGUGCCAGCAGCCGC